This 348-nucleotide long non-coding RNA is filed under the name Pan troglodytes (chimpanzee). RNAcentral describes it as "long non-coding RNA NONPTRT017984". The record is from RNAcentral. Lineage: Eukaryota; Metazoa; Chordata; Mammalia; Primates; Hominidae.
UUUCCAUGCUAUUAGUGACUUACACUCCUCAGUAGCAGCUCUCAAUCCUUGGCAGCCAGAAAGCCACUUCAUUAAGGGGUGACAGAUCUGAGCCACAAAGAACCAACCUGACUGGGGAGCAGAAUGGGUGCUGAGAUGGGAGAGAACACCAGAGUCAGAACAUCACCCGAUAAGAUUACCCCUCUCCAGGAGGGUGAAGGUGAGACUCCAGAAAACAUUUAUUUUGGAAUCAGAGAGAUGAAGCUCCCCUGAGCGGUGCUGGCUCACUCCACCUGGCCCGGCAGUUCUAACUCCUCCAGCCCAGAGCACCUGCGAGCUGCCAGCAUCUGCUCGUUACAUUUAUCCAAG